Long non-coding RNA from Zonotrichia albicollis (white-throated sparrow), 1624 nucleotides. RefSeq lists it as uncharacterized. Lineage: Eukaryota; Metazoa; Chordata; Aves; Passeriformes; Passerellidae. The record is from RefSeq and is a predicted model, not a curated record.
AUCAGUGCUACUGUUGUUGGCAUUGAGUACACUUCAUCUCUGAAAGAUCUGCCCUGGUAGAAAACCAUCUAAUAUUCUUCCUGCUUAUAUAAUAUUCUAAGAAUGAGGCUAUCAAAUAUUUUUUUAAAGUAUUUGUUGCUGUUUGAUAUAUCACUGACAUAUUCUUUUAUGGCUGAAAAUGUGCUUGAAGACUGGUGAAGCCUUGUUCUUGCUAAGUUUUUCAUUCUUUUAAAAAUGCUUUUUUUGUUAUAUUUGGUUCUGAGGAUUAGGAUUGCAGCAAAGCCAGAAAUUAAUUGACCAAUUUGUAUUUCAUCUCCUGCUGUACAUGACAAGAACACACUGCCAUGAAUUCAAGAGAGAGUUAAAGCAGAGCAAGUCAAAUUGGAAAGAGGCCCUUGGAAUACAGUUACAUUCACCAUAUGAAAGGAGACGUUGUAACAGUUUGUUCUUUAAAGAAGCCUCAAAAGGGAAAAAAACCCUCAAAGCAGCAAACCUUUUGGCUCUUUUGAUCUCCUGGCAGCUGAAAUCAACAACUGCAGAGCCUAGGGACACUUUGGUUUCCAGCCUGGAUGAUGGACUGCGUUUGCAGGAGGUUAUUAUCUGUUUGUUGGAAACAGACAGACAAACCAGAUGCCUGAAUUGAGAAGGCUGUCUCAGUUCAGAUUAAAAUUUUCCUCAGUUUCUGAAGACUCAGCAAAACUCCAGCAUAGGUUGUUAUUUUAGUCAAGAGUAACACUUUAAGGUCAAAAUGUACCUUUUUAAAAUCAUAAAAUUGUGAACUUAGGCAUUUUAAAUUCCUGCUUGAUAAACUACCACGGUACUGUCUCUGAAGGUUACUUCAGCAUAUGUAUUAACAUCAUUUUUACAUCUGAAUGCUUUUGAAAACCAGAUUAUUUGUGCAGAAAAGUAAGGGCUUUAUCUUGGUAUCCAAGAAUAAACCCAGUGCAGUUAUCUGCUACACUAUAAAUACACAUUGUGCAAGAGAAAAAGCAUAAUUAUCUAAUGCCAUUGGAGCUGAUGGUUAGAAGACAGUUAUUUUCUUGGAUCACAUCAAGAUGGAGCCUUGGUUAGCUCUAUAUUAAGCAAAAUUAUUGCAUCAAACACUUGAGUCAAGCAGGCCUUGUUUUAGCAUAAUGUAUGUAAGAAUUUUAUCAAUACAUUGCUAAUGUAACUUUCCACUUGUAGAAUGGAAGGACCUGCAAAAGAAUAACCAGUCCAUGGUUGCUGAAUUUUCAUCUGGUACUUGUCCAGCCUUUGAAACAUGUAAAUUUGUAAGUGGAAUGUAAAUUUGUAUGUGGAAUGUAAAUUUGUAUGUGGAAUGAAAAUUUGUAUGUGGAAUGAAAAUUUGGUUGUGGGCUCCCAGCAGUAAAAGGCCUUGCAAAGCCGAGAGCAGGGGACUGAGAGUCUCUUUGCAGUCAAUCUAUUCAAUGUAAUUUCACCUUCCUGUUUCUCUGAUAGGCUCAUUCCUCUGAAAGGCAGAAAAAGGGGGACUUCAUUUCGUUUGAAUUGCCUGGAAAACAGAUUUACUGAGCUCAGCUGAGUAUUAUACAUAAAAAUAAUAAAAGAAAAUAAUUUUGGAAUCCUGAUUUCAGUCAGACCUGCAAUAAGCUGGCAAGUGGUUUUA